UACUGUUGACUCUGAGGAUCUUGUCAUUAAUGUUCUAAAUGGUCUUGAUGAUCCGUAUAUGGAGCCCUCUCAUGCUAUCCAAGCCCGUGAAUCUCCAAUCUCUUUUGCUGAAUUACAUGACAAGUUGUUAAGCAUGGAGGCUCAGAUUAAUGCCCGUGCGCCGGCCACCUCCGUCGCAUCUGAUUUGGCUCCGUCGGCUGCCUUCGU
This 207-nucleotide long non-coding RNA is filed under the name Nicotiana benthamiana. Its description in RNAcentral is "long non-coding RNA (NBEN_LNC040749)". Lineage: Eukaryota; Viridiplantae; Streptophyta; Magnoliopsida; Solanales; Solanaceae. The record is from RNAcentral.